UUUCUUGGCACAUACUCAAAUGAUUUUUUUCUCAUUUAAAAAAUUACAAGCUGUCUAUUCUAUUUUAUUCUCUAGUUAAAAUGUGUAGCCUGGACCCUUAUUCUGUUUUCAUAUGAGAUAUUAUUUCAGCCAGCACGUGGUCCUCCUUUACUACCCUCAUACUGCUUAUAAUAGCACAGCAGCCAGCUCAUCUCUAAUCUACCCUCUUCUUGCUAUUACCCAGUACCUGGCGUUACACAUCCGAGUCAUUCAGCUCACGCCAUUUCAGCCUCCAAAUUCAUCUGAAAUGAUGAAAAACAAGCAAAGAAGAAACACGAGAGAUUUUUUUUUUAAUCGAAAAGUGAAACAAAUGUAAUGGACAUGGAAGAUAUGAUGAAAUAGGAUAUACUGCCAUUGCCUACACUUAUUGGCAUGACAGAAAACUUGUGAUCAAAAACUUGUGACUACAAAUUAAAUUGCGAAAUAUCUAUUUUUCCCUAGAACUUUGAAUAGAAAUUAAAUCCACAUGUUUGGCAACAGAGUUUCACCAGUUCAACACUUCAGUCAAAAUGCAUUGUUAUGGUACAUUUAAUGCAAGAAGCUUUUUAUUCUCAUAAUAUUUCAUUUACUUAUUUCUGGUGGUAUAGACCUCCUAAUGAACACACACUCAUGUUAGCAGGUGAAAGAUGUUCCAUGUGGUAGACUGAGAGCAUGGGAAAGCUUAUUUAGUGAUGGUAAAUAAUGUUUUUCUGUUCUGUAGUGGUCAGUUUCACAGUGCUGGUGAUUUUCUAACCUGAAAUGAUGGGAAUUCAUCUGAGCAACAGAAAGACGAAAGACUACUGACCAGGUCAAAUGUUUCGGUACUGGAAACAUGAAGAAUUAUGGCAAACAAAGAAAAGAAAAAUGGCAAUAAACUGGGUAUUCUUUUAUUCGUAGGGAAAAAUUUUGUUAAGAGUUGAAAUGUUAGCCUUGAAUCAUGUUUGUUUGUGAUGUGACUGUACUUUUUUUUUUCUUUUUAAGAAGUACAAAUAAAAGUAUACUAUUUACAUACAACCAAAUUAACCAACAUACACAUAAUACUUAUUAUGUAUAUGGACCAGGUAUAACACUAUAAUGGUGUAGUGGAAGUAGUUUUGGUUGUGUAGGUUAAGGUAUAUUAGUAUCUUAUUUCUACACCUAUAAACUACAGUCUUAUUGUUUUAAUGUAAAAGCAUGAGCCCACCUUGGGUAGUUUCAAAAAAAAGGGAAUUUUUUUUUUUUUUUUUUUUUACUGCUUAGUCAUCCUUCUCAAUGCAAAAUCAAGGUUUUGAGAAAGAGACUGAUAUCAGACAGGGGUCAGCAUCACAAACGAGGAAGGAAAAUCCUCUCCGCACUCUUGGGUAACCCACACCCUUACGAACAUAUAGAGAAUUUGAACAUGGUGACUAUUGGUUAAAGUGCAAGUAAAAAAAGAAUGGGUGCUGUAAAGGUCUAUCUCAGCGAGCAUAGGGGAAAGGAAAUGGGCUCAGUGACCUUUGCAGCCAAUUUCCCCCGUGUUCAAACAGCAGCAUGAAAGCCGUGUCUGUUUCUGAAGUCCUGUUCAAAAUGUCAGUUGCAACUUAUCCUACCAGAAGAAGGAUUUUCUCUGAAAGUAGAUUCCCUUAUUGUUGCCCUGGGCUUUUAAGUCACUGCACAUGGAUAGCCUGACCCCCAGCUUCUUCUAAUACUGUGCACUUUCUAAGAACUGGGUACAGGUUUCAGCUUCAAAAAGAAAAAGUCAAAUUAUGUAGAAAGACGUAUGAUGAAAUUGUCUACACUUAUUGGCAUGACAAACUUGCGCGUCUUCCCGGAUGACCAAACGGAUAUUAAGAAACAUCCAUUUUCAUGACUUCUUAUUGACUUCUUGUCAGAAUGGUGAUGUUCGAAAUGACAGUAAAUUACGUCAGUAUUAGACCUUCUUGACUGUGUUACUUGCCCAAAGGAAAAAAAAAAAGGCAUUGACUCUGGUUUAUAGUCAUAUGUUUAUUAAUGGUAUCAGCAGUAUAGAAACAUAUAAAAGCAAGAAACAUGCUGUGAUGGAAUAUGAAGAACCUCAGUUUGGAAUCCAAGCAGUUUUAAUUGAUUUAUUUGGGACGGCAACAGCUAUCAGAUUAUCAUUCUCAUAACAUCUCUCUGGUCUCUGCUGGUCGUGGUAGAAUAGUUAGCUUUUUAUGGACACACAUUUGACCUUAAAUAGCACGAGGGAGAGGCAUUUUCAGUGUGAGAAACGAUGUCAUAUGACUGAAAAUUAAUCAUAUUCCAUAUUGCAAUAUUGGGUUCAUUUCGAGAACACAGGAGUGUACACCAGUCAUAUCUCAACUGCAAUUUCAAAGUCUAAUCAAUUAUAAAGCACAAUUUUGUAGGCUGAAUUUGUGAAUACUCCAUGACUUCACCUUACAGUAAGUGUUAACAUGGAAGUAGAGUGGGAAGGUGGAAGAACUGUAUUCACGCUUUUAACACCACACCUCGGCAUGAUGCAACUUACAUGUAUUAAUCAGCAGAAACUUCCAUAUGAGGAAACUUGAACUGAUCAUUCUUUUUUUUUUUCUCUACCGGAGCACUAACAGUAAACAUGACUCUAAAAAUGAGUGUUCGACAUGUAGGAUUUCCAUUUCCUUUUUGGAAAUACAAAAACAAACUUUCAGACUGUUAGUUUCUCUCUGCCUGUGCUGUGUCACCUAUCCUCACAUGGAACCACAUUUUUGCAAUAGGGGAAUUCCUGGUUCCUACAGAGACAAGUAGUUUUUUUUUUCCCUCCCUCUCCCCUUUUCCCUUUUUUUGUUUUAUGGGAACUGAGGGCUGAACCAGUGAGAUAUUUUUCCUCAGAAGCGCUGUGUAUUGAUUCAUUACGAGGGGGCGGGAGACUCCCUCCCACUGCUUCCUUCUUACUGGGAAGUGACUGCCAGGCUUACCGUACUCACAGAGCAUGAGUGAGUGAGUGUGUCCAUGAGUGAGGCAGUAACACGGACGUUCAUAAGUAUUUAAGCUGAAGAAUUUACAGUUUAUAUAUAAGUCCUUGCAUCUUUAAUGGAGAGGAUGGAUGUGUUUUGGCUCUGGAAAUUCAUCAACUAUGAGAAGUUGGUGGAUACUGAAGCAGGAACGUUUCCCAGGAAGGAGACAUAUUAAGAGUGGUAUGUCAGAUUGGGAUCAUUUUUUCCCUCUCUCAUAGCUAAUGUGGUUCCACUAAUGGCUCUAUAAAGCUGUGUCUUGGUGGAGCAGCCUCAAACUCAUGGGCAGCCUCAUGUAAGCAGCCUCAGCAUCCAGUUUCCUAUAGAAUAGGAAACGUAUAAGGCUCUUCUGAGCACUUGGCCCUGAGAACUGAAUUCCAUAGAUGGUGGUCAUGAGGAGCUCAUCUAUGGACUCAGUUCUUUUGGCAAUGUGCUCUUUAUCUACAUAACAAGCCAACUGCUCUAUAGAUGGUGUAUUUUUAUGUUGAUGAAAGUUGAAAAAAGAAAUAUUUUUUUCCCAGUCACUUAAAGUAUCUUUGUUUUCUUUUAAAUCUCUGUAAACAUGAAAUUCGAAUAUAUUUUAUAAGUAAAGAGCAAACCGUACAUGUGCUGUUUCUUUUUCUUUUCUUUUUUUUAUCUUAUAUGCACUACAUGUGAGAUAUUCUCUGUGUUUAUUUAGCAGCACGAGGGGGUGUGCUAAUCAAAUGGCUUUAGAAACAUUUCCCCUUGACUUGUGUCACACCUUUUUAUUCAGUUAUUCAGUGUUCAGAAGAUACUUAAAGGUUUAUUGUAAUACACACAGAAAAUCAUUCAUACCAACUACUUUAAAUGCUAGACUGUAUGAUGCUGAAGAUAAUUUCACAUAUGUAUUGCAUUCUAUUAUAUGUAUGUUAUGUAUGUAUUAUAUCUACAAUAUGUAACAUAUAUCAUUGUAUAAUAAGUUUACAGUGAUUCUAUGUGAGUUAACGUAUGAAAAUGUGUGUCCACCCACACACUGACCACAAAUAUGCCUUAUCUCCUGCUCCUGGUAAAUGAGUCAGGAUCAUUCCAUGGAAACUGAAAGUCAUGGACACCCUACCAAGAACAAUUACCAAGCACAACCACAGCUGAUAUCCAUUACAUUCUUACAAAAGUUGUCUGAAAUAAAAUAAACUGCAAACAAUAUAGUCACACAAAUUGCGAUAACACAUAGUUUUGUCAGUUGUAGUAGAUGAAAAUGGCAAUGAUUAAUCUGACCCAGGAAAUCCAGGUGCAUGCUGCUGUUAAAACUUGUAUUUUGACAAUAGAAUCCUUUAGGCUGGGCUAAACAAAACAAAGAUUUAAACAUUAAUGCAAUAAACUUGGUACACACUUCUGAACUUUCAUGCCACAUGUACAUUAGAGACUAUGACGGCAAAAUACAAAUCUCCAAAUAAAAAUAAACUAAUCUACUCCACAUUCAA
Long non-coding RNA from Pangasianodon hypophthalmus (striped catfish), 4387 nucleotides. RefSeq lists it as uncharacterized. Lineage: Eukaryota; Metazoa; Chordata; Actinopteri; Siluriformes; Pangasiidae. The record is from RefSeq and is a predicted model, not a curated record. The transcript is spliced from 2 exons.